RNAcentral lists this ribosomal RNA (386 nucleotides) under uncultured prokaryote. RNAcentral describes it as "bacterial SSU rRNA". It matches the Rfam family "Archaeal small subunit ribosomal RNA", at positions 339 to 725 of the family's 1478-position model. The record is from RNAcentral.
GCGCGAAAACUUUACAAUGCUGGCAACAGCGAUAAGGGAACCUCGAGUGCCAGGUUACAAAUCUGGCUGUCGAGAUGCCUAAAAAGCAUUUCAUAGCAAGGGCCGGGCAAGACCGGUGCCAGCCGCCGCGGUAACACCGGCGGCUCGAGUGGUAACCGUUAUUAUUGGGUCUAAAGGGUCUGUAGCCGGCCGGAUAAGUCUCUUGAGAAAUCUGGCAGCUUAACUGUCGGGCUUUCAGGGGAUACUGUCUGGCUCGAGGCCGGGAGAGGUGAGAGGUACUUCAGGGGUAGGGGUGAAAUCUUGUAAUCCUUGAAGGACCACCAGUGGCGAAGGCGUCUCACCAGAACGGACCUGACGGCAAGGGACGAAAGCUAGGGGCACGAACC